Molecule: transfer RNA, 74 nt
Filed under: Prevotellaceae bacterium
Lineage: Bacteria; Pseudomonadati; Bacteroidota; Bacteroidia; Bacteroidales; Prevotellaceae
Description: tRNA-His
Rfam family: tRNA
About the family: Transfer RNA (tRNA) molecules are approximately 80 nucleotides in length.
Source: RNAcentral
GUGCCCGUAGUUCAGUUGGUUAGAGCGCCGGAUUGUGGUUCCGGAGGUCGUGGGUUCAACCCCCAUCGGGCACC